UACGGAGGGAGCUAGCGUUGUUCGGAAUUACUGGGCGUAAAGCGCACGUAGGCGGCUAUUCAAGUCGGGGGUGAAAGCCCGGGGCUCAACCCCGGAACUGCCCUCGAAACUAGGUAGCUAGAAUCUUGGAGAGGUCAGUGGAAUUCCGAGUGUAGAGGUGAAAUUCGUAGAUAUUCGGAAGAACACCAGUGGCGAAGGCGACUUACUGGACACAUAUUGACGCUGAGGUGCGAAAGCGUGGGGAGCAAACAGG
Molecule: ribosomal RNA, 253 nt
Filed under: uncultured bacterium
Lineage: Bacteria
Description: partial 16S ribosomal RNA
Rfam family: Bacterial small subunit ribosomal RNA
Source: RNAcentral